Hibiscus syriacus is the source of this 158-nucleotide small nuclear RNA. RefSeq annotates it as U1 spliceosomal RNA. The record is from RefSeq and is a predicted model, not a curated record. NCBI's taxonomy places the organism in Eukaryota, Viridiplantae, Streptophyta, Magnoliopsida, Malvales, Malvaceae. The transcript has a single exon.
AUACUUAUCUGGAUGGGGUCUAUGGGUGAUCAAUAAGGUCCAUGACCUAGGUCAGUGAUCUCCAUUGCACUUGGGAGAGGCGCUUGCCUAAGGACUCCCCACGUGGGAGAGCCUACCUAACUUAUGGCAGUGGGGGCCUGCGUUCGUGAGGCCCUCGU